UAGUCCACACUGUAAACGAUGUCUACUAGCCGUUGGUUUCCUUGAGGAAGCAGUGGCGCAGCUAACGCGAUAAGUAGACCGCCUGGGGAGUACGGCCGCAAGGUUAAAACUCAAAUGAAUUGACGGGGGCCCGCACAAGCGGUGGAGCAUGUGGUUUAAUUCGAUGCAACGCGAAGAACCUUACCAGGUCUUGACAUCCUGAAAACUUUCUAGAGAUAGAUUGGUGCCUUCGGGAAUUCAGUGACAGGUGCUGCAUGGCUGUCGUCAGCUCGUGUCGUGAGAUGUUGGGUUACGUCCCGCAACGAGCGCAACCCCUACUGUUAGUUGCCAUCAGGUUAAGCUGGGGACUCUAACAAGACUGCCUACGCAAGUAGAGAGGAAGGUGGGGACGACGUCAAGUCAUCAUGGCCCUUACGCCCAGGGCUACACACGUGCUACAAUGGUACAUACAGAGGGUCGCUACACAGCAAUGUGAUGCCAAUCUCAAAAAGUGU
This 494-nucleotide ribosomal RNA is filed under the name uncultured bacterium. Its description in RNAcentral is "bacterial SSU rRNA". It matches the Rfam family "Bacterial small subunit ribosomal RNA", at positions 791 to 1284 of the family's 1533-position model. The record is from RNAcentral.